This 214-nucleotide long non-coding RNA is filed under the name Elaeis guineensis (African oil palm). RNAcentral describes it as "long non-coding RNA (EGUI_LNC015892)". Lineage: Eukaryota; Viridiplantae; Streptophyta; Magnoliopsida; Arecales; Arecaceae. The record is from RNAcentral.
GUCCGAACUUCGUUUGGGAUGAUCUUGAUCUUGUUGAACUUUAUUUUCAUCGCGAACCUCGCUAUGAGCUCAAUAUAGACCGAAUCUCGAAGUGUCAAAUUUUAAUAUUAUAUUUUUAUUUUUACUCUUUUUUUUUUUUUCAAUUUCUGCCAUUGUGCAUAUUUCAUUCAUGCCUCCUCUGGACGCAGUUAAUAGGAUAUGCAGUCUACCUAUC